AGAGAAAGAAAAGCACAACAAACCUGUUAUUUAUCUUUUAUUGUUUUUAUUGUUUAGUAAUUGCAGGUUCAUCAGUCAGGUGGUCAGCACCCAAACUAAAACCAUGCGUCAUGGUGGCCAGGAAUUGCAUCCCAGCAGCACAGAUGGGGGAGCCAACAUGAAGAGGUGUCCAGAGAGGCUUCUUCCUCUUUGGCUUUGCAGCAGCACCAGGACCUCACCAUCAGUGAUGCUGUUCAUCCAUCGGGCCUACCCUUACAUUCCUCCCCUGAUGCACUGAUCACCUGUACCAGUUGUUGGAGUUUUCAGAAGGGCUCUAAAUUAAAAAAAAAUUAUUCACUAGUAGCCAAAAUGGCUAGUAUGUUAAUCUCCAAACAUACCGGUACAUUAAAUAAUGGGUCAAAGUGCCAAGUAUGUUUUCUUUUCUACCAGCAAAACUUAAUUUUCCCCAGCAUUUGGCUGGUGAGCCCUGGUUGUCAUUGAUGGUGAGUAGCUGUGAUAAUAAAUAACUGAAAUGAUGAAGUCCAUCCA
Long non-coding RNA from Engraulis encrasicolus (European anchovy), 528 nucleotides. RefSeq lists it as uncharacterized. The transcript is spliced from 2 exons. The record is from RefSeq and is a predicted model, not a curated record. Lineage: Eukaryota; Metazoa; Chordata; Actinopteri; Clupeiformes; Engraulidae.